Molecule: ribosomal RNA, 1048 nt
Filed under: Staphylococcus aureus
Lineage: Bacteria; Bacillati; Bacillota; Bacilli; Caryophanales; Staphylococcaceae
Description: partial 23S ribosomal RNA
Rfam family: Bacterial large subunit ribosomal RNA
Source: RNAcentral
AUUAGACGAAUCAUCUGGAAAGAUGAAUCAAAGAAGGUAAUAAUCCUGUAGUCGAAAAUGUUGUCUCUCUUGAGUGGAUCCUGAGUACGACGGAGCACGUGAAAUUCCGUCGGAAUCUGGGAGGACCAUCUCCUAAGGCUAAAUACUCUCUAGUGACCGAUAGUGAACCAGUACCGUGAGGGAAAGGUGAAAAGCACCCCGGAAGGGGAGUGAAAUAGAACCUGAAACCGUGUGCUUACAAGUAGUCAGAGCCCGUUAAUGGGUGAUGGCGUGCCUUUUGUAGAAUGAACCGGCGAGUUACGAUUUGAUGCAAGGUUAAGCAGUAAAUGUGGAGCCGUAGCGAAAGCGAGUCUGAAUAGGGCGUUUAGUAUUUGGUCGUAGACCCGAAACCAGGUGAUCUACCCUUGGUCAGGUUGAAGUUCAGGUAACACUGAAUGGAGGACCGAACCGACUUACGUUGAAAAGUGAGCGGAUGAACUGAGGGUAGCGGAGAAAUUCCAAUCGAACCUGGAGAUAGCUGGUUCUCUCCGAAAUAGCUUUAGGGCUAGCCUCAAGUGAUGAUUAUUGGAGGUAGAGCACUGUUUGGACGAGGGGCCCCUCUCGGGUUACCGAAUUCAGACAAACUCCGAAUGCCAAUUAAUUUAACUUGGGAGUCAGAACAUGGGUGAUAAGGUCCGUGUUCGAAAGGGAAACAGCCCAGACCACCAGCUAAGGUCCCAAAAUAUAUGUUAAGUGGAAAAGGAUGUGGCGUUGCCCAGACAACUAGGAUGUUGGCUUAGAAGCAGCCAUCAUUUAAAGAGUGCGUAAUAGCUCACUAGUCGAGUGACACUGCGCCGAAAAUGUACCGGGGCUAAACAUAUUACCGAAGCUGUGGAUUGUCCUUUGGACAAUGGUAGGAGAGCGUUCUAAGGGCGUUGAAGCAUGAUCGUAAGGACAUGUGGAGCGCUUAGAAGUGAGAAUGCCGGUGUGAGUAGCGAAAGACGGGUGAGAAUCCCGUCCACCGAUUGACUAAGGUUUCCAGAGGAAGGCUCGUCCGCUCUGGGUUAGU